RNAcentral lists this ribosomal RNA (405 nucleotides) under uncultured prokaryote. Its description in RNAcentral is "bacterial SSU rRNA". It matches the Rfam family "Bacterial small subunit ribosomal RNA", at positions 355 to 774 of the family's 1533-position model. The record is from RNAcentral.
UGGGGAAUAUUGCACAAUGGGCGAAAGCCUGAUGCAGCAACGCCGCGUGAGGGAAGACGGUUUUCGGAUUGUAAACCUCUGUCCUCGGUGAAGAAAAAAAUGACGGUAGCCGAGGAGGAAGCCACGGCUAACUACGUGCCAGCAGCCGCGGUAAUACGUAGGUGGCGAGCGUUGUCCGGAAUUACUGGGUGUAAAGGGAGCGCAGGCGGGAUAGCAAGUCAGCGGUGAAAUACAUGGGCUUAACCCAUGAACUGCCGUUGAAACUGCUGUUCUUGAGUGGAUCAGAGGCAAGUGGAAUUCCGAGUGUAGCGGUGAAAUGCGUAGAUAUUCGGAGGAACACCAGUGGCGAAGGCGACUUGCUGGGGUCUAACUGACGCUGAGGCUCGAAAGUGUGGGGAGCAAACA